This 596-nucleotide ribosomal RNA is filed under the name uncultured bacterium. Its description in RNAcentral is "bacterial SSU rRNA". It matches the Rfam family "Bacterial small subunit ribosomal RNA", at positions 338 to 947 of the family's 1533-position model. The record is from RNAcentral.
CCUACGGGAGGCAGCAGUAAGGAAUCUUCCACAAUGGACGAAAGUCUGAUGGAGCAACGCCGCGUGCAGGAUGAAGGCUUUCGGGUCGUAAACUGCUUUUAUAUGGGAAGAUUAUGACGGUACCAUAUGAAUAAGGACCGGCUAACUACGUGCCAGCAGCCGCGGUAAUACGUAGGGUCCAAGCGAUAUCCGGAAUUACUGGGCGUAAAGCGUGUGUAGGUGGAUUAAUAAGUGUGAUGCGAAAUCCGGCGGCUCAACCGUUUGGACUGUGUCGCAUACUGUUAGUCUAGAGGACGGCAGAGGUAAGUGGAAUUACGGGUGUAGCAGUGAAAUGCGUAGAUAUCCGUAGGAACACCAAUGGCGAAGGCAGCUUACUGGGCCACACCUGACACUGAGACACGAAAGCGUGGGGAGCGAACAGGAUUAGAUACCCUGGUAGUCCACGCCGUAAACGAUGCAUACUAUUAGUAUGGGGUAUCGACCCCCUGUGCUGAGAAGCUAACGCGAUAAGUAUGCCGCCUGGGGAGUACGAGCGCAAGCUUAAAACUCAAAUGAAUUGACGGCUGAGACCGNGCGAGACGACGACGAGGGAGAGG